This is a long non-coding RNA of Vicia villosa (hairy vetch), 1124 nucleotides long. RefSeq lists it as uncharacterized. NCBI's taxonomy places the organism in Eukaryota, Viridiplantae, Streptophyta, Magnoliopsida, Fabales, Fabaceae. The transcript has 4 exons. The record is from RefSeq and is a predicted model, not a curated record.
UCUCUCAUACCCACACUCUUUUUGUGACUCACUUCAUUUCUCCUACCCACACUCUUCCUAUUUUUCUUCUUCCUUCUACCUCUUCUUCUUUCUCUUUUUCUUAUUGAAACCAAAUAGAAACAACCGCUAAUCUGUGACAUCAAUUUAUGAUUUCAAAAAUAAACCCAUAUCUUCCUCUUCUUCUUUCUUCUAUAAAUCUUUGUUUAUUUUGUAUAUUUUUAUUAACUAACUCAAUUUUUUCAUUUUUCUGUUGUUUUUCAUCACUCAUCACUCAUCACUAAGAUCUAGAAAUAUUUUUUUCCAGAUCUACAAAUUAAAGAGGAGUAAAGCAGUUUAUUUUCAAGAAUGGGGACGACGAAAGCGAAACGAGGACGGGGAACACAAGAUCCAGGAAUCCCUCGACACGGGGAAGCAAACUUUCUAAAAUCGAAGAUGAAGGAAAUGAAGAGAUUGGGUGUCUAACAUAUUCCAUUCAAUUUUUUUAAAAAUGAAGAGAUUGAGAUCUGUGUUUUUAAAACUGCCUCCAUAUUUUCUAUUUAUCAUUAUGCUUAAAAAAUGUUUAGUGGGGUGAUUUGUGUGUUUAUUAUGACUCUGUGGUAGUUUUGUAUUGACCUAAGAUUGUUGGUUUUUCAGGAAUAGGAAGGAAAAAUAAUAUUGGCAUGUCUAAUACUGUUAUGACAGCAAUUCGUACAAAUGUGAGAGAAACACAAAUAUGCAAUGGUGGAUAGGUAUAAAGUGUGUUUUAGUUACACAGAGCAUGUUCAACUAAGAAACCAUUGCUGAUAAUCUCCUUUGCAGAAAUAAUCUCCUUCAUCUAUGUUUCUUCAUCAAUAUAUGUUCUUCUUUAUGGUUUUGUUGAUUUCAUUUUGCACAGAAGAUUUACAAUAAGAAAGGAGUAAAUUGAUGGAUAUGGUGUGUUUUUCUCUCCGAAUUGACUUUCAGAAUAGAGUGGAGUAAAGCACGCUGAACAAAAACGAGAAGGAAGGCCAAGUAAGAUUUCAUCAACAUGAAGAAAGUUAUCAAUGGACUGGACACAACAAUUAAUGCCUUCAAUUUUGACAGAGAAAAUAUUUAUUAGAUUUAGAUUUUUAAAAGUUAAAAUGACAACUCAUUUAUUUUUGUUA